AUUGAACGCUGGCGGCAGGCCUAACACAUGCAAGUCGAGCGGCAGCGGAAGUAAGCUUGCUUUCUUGCCGGCGAGCGGCGGACGGGUGAGUAAGGUAUGGGAUCUGGCCGAAGGCGGGGGAUAACCACUGGAAACGGUGGCUAAUACCGCAUAAUCUCUAAGUAGCAAAGUGGGGGACCUGUCAGGCCUCACAACUUCGGAUGAACCGAUAUGGGAUUAGCUAGUAGGUGGGGUAGUGGCUUCGCUAGGCGACGGUCUCUAGCUGGUCUGAGAGGAUGAUCAGCCACACUGGGAAGGAGACACGGCCCAGACUCCUACGGGAGGGAGCAGUGGGGAAUAUUGCACAAUGGGCGCAAGCCUGAUGCAGCCAUGCCGCGUGUAUGAAGAAGGCCUUCGGGUUGUAAAGUACUUUCAGUCGUGAGGAAGGUGUUAAGGUUAAUAACCUUAGCAAUUGACGUUAGCGACAGAAGAAGCACCGGCUAACUCCGUGCCAGCCGCCGCCGUAA
RNAcentral lists this ribosomal RNA (506 nucleotides) under uncultured bacterium. RNAcentral describes it as "partial 16S ribosomal RNA". It matches the Rfam family "Bacterial small subunit ribosomal RNA", at positions 30 to 523 of the family's 1533-position model. The record is from RNAcentral.